ACGGGUGAGUAACGCGUGGGAACGUGCCUUCCGGUUCGGAAUAACCCUGGGAAACUAGGGCUAAUACCGGAUACGCCCUUAUGGGGAAAGGUUUACUGCCGGAAGAUCGGCCCGCGUCUGAUUAGCUAGUUGGUGGGGUAACGGCCUACCAAGGCGACGAUCAGUAGCUGGUCUGAGAGGAUGAUCAGCCACACUGGGACUGAGACACGGCCCAGACUCCUACGGGAGGCAGCAGUGGGGAAUAUUGGACAAUGGGCGCAAGCCUGAUCCAGCCAUGCCGCGCGAGUGAUGAAGGCCUUAGGGUUGUAAAGCUCUUUUAUCCGGGACGAUAAUGACGGUACCGGAGGAAUAAGCCCCGGCUAACUUCGUGCCAGCAGCCGCGGUAAUACGAAGGGGGCUAGCGUUGCUCGGAAUCACUGGGCGUAAAGGGCGCGUAGGCGGCGUUUUAAGUCGGGGGUGAAAGCCUGUGGCUCAACCACAGAAUGGCCUUCGAUACUGGGACGCUUGAGUAUGGUAGAGGUUGGUGGAACUGCGAGUGUAGAGGUGAAAUUCGUAGA
RNAcentral lists this ribosomal RNA (557 nucleotides) under uncultured Methylobacterium sp. RNAcentral's name for it is "bacterial SSU rRNA". It matches the Rfam family "Bacterial small subunit ribosomal RNA", at positions 102 to 694 of the family's 1533-position model. Lineage: Bacteria; Pseudomonadati; Pseudomonadota; Alphaproteobacteria; Hyphomicrobiales; Methylobacteriaceae. The record is from RNAcentral.